Molecule: ribosomal RNA, 566 nt
Filed under: uncultured archaeon
Lineage: Archaea
Description: bacterial SSU rRNA
Rfam family: Archaeal small subunit ribosomal RNA
Source: RNAcentral
CGGGGUGCAGCAGGCGCGAAAACUUUACAAUGCUGGAAACAGCGAUAAGGGGACCUCGAGUGCCAGGUUACAAAUCUGGCUGUCGUGAUGCCUAAAAAGCAUUGCAUAGCAAGGGCCGGGCAAGACCGGUGCCAGCCGCCGCGGUAACACCGGCGGCUCGAGUGGUAACCGUUAUUAUUGGGUCUAAAGGGUCUGUAGCCGGCCGGAUAAGUCUCUUGGGAAAUCCAGCAGCUCAACUGUUGGGCUUUCAGGAGAUACUGUCUGGCUCGAGGCCGGGAGAGGUGAGAGGUACUUCAGGGGUAGGGGUGAAAUCUUGUAAUCCUUGAAGGACCACCAGUGGCGAAGGCGUCUCACCAGAACGGACCUGACGGCAAGGGACGAAAGCUAGGGGCACGAACCGGAUUGGAUACCCGGGUAGUCCUAGCCGUAAACGAUACUCGCUAGGUGUCGGCCACGGUGCGACCGUUGUCGGUGCCGUAGGGAAGCCGUGAAGCGAGCCACCUGGGAAGUACGGCCGCAAGGCUGAAACUUAAAGGAAUUGGCGGGGGAGCACAAGGGCGAAUCGC